UACAGAGGGGGCAAGCGUUGUUCGGAAUUACUGGGCGUAAAGGGCGCGUAGGCGGCCAUUCAAGUCAGGGGUGAAAGCCUGUGGCUCAACCACAGAAUUGCCUUUGAUACUGUUUGGCUAGAGACCGGAAGAGGUAAGUGGAACUGCGAGUGUAGAGGUGAAAUUCGUAGAUAUUCGCAAGAACACCAGUGGCGAAGGCGGCUUACUGGUCCGGUUCUGACGCUGAGGCGCGAAAGCGUGGGGAGCAAACAGG
Molecule: ribosomal RNA, 253 nt
Filed under: uncultured bacterium
Lineage: Bacteria
Description: partial 16S ribosomal RNA
Rfam family: Bacterial small subunit ribosomal RNA
Source: RNAcentral